This 502-nucleotide ribosomal RNA is filed under the name uncultured bacterium. RNAcentral describes it as "partial 16S ribosomal RNA". It matches the Rfam family "Bacterial small subunit ribosomal RNA", at positions 29 to 507 of the family's 1533-position model. The record is from RNAcentral.
AGCGAACGCUGGCGGCGUGCCUAACACAUGCAAGUCGAACGUGAAAGGGAGCAAUCCCAAGUAAAGUGGCGUACGGGUGAGUAACACGUAGGUAAUCUACCCCAGAAUCUGGAAUAACCGGCCGAAAGGCUGGCCAAUACUGGAUAGAGCGACGGAAUCCGUAAUUGGGUUUUUCGGGAAAGGGAGCCUGUAAAAAGGCCUUCGUUCUGGGAUGAGCCUGCGUCCCAUCAGCUAGUUGGUGAGGUAAAAGCUUACCAAGGCAAUGACGGGUAGCUGGUCUGAGAAGACGGACAGCCACACUGGAACUGGAACACGGUCCAGACUCCUUCGGGAGGGAGCAGGGGGGGAACUUGCGGAAUGGGCGGAAGUCUGACGCAGGCACGCCGGGGGGGGGGAGGAGGCCUUCGGGUUGUAAAGCUCCUUCGAGUAGGAAGAAAAUGCUUGGAGUUCACAGCUCCAGGAACUGACGGUACCAAUAAAGGAAGCACCGGCUAACUCCGUG